RNAcentral lists this ribosomal RNA (446 nucleotides) under uncultured bacterium. RNAcentral describes it as "partial 16S ribosomal RNA". It matches the Rfam family "Bacterial small subunit ribosomal RNA", at positions 338 to 795 of the family's 1533-position model. The record is from RNAcentral.
CCUACGGGAGACUGCAGUCGAGAAUCAUUCACAAUGGGGGAAACCCUGAUGGUGCGACGCCGCGUGGGGGAAUGAAGGUCUUCGGAUUGUAAACCCCUGUCAUGUGGGAGCAAAUUAAAAAGAUAGUACCACAAGAGGAAGAGACGGCUAACUCUGUGCCAGCAGCCGCGGUAAUACAGAGGUCUCAAGCGUUGUUCGGAAUCACUGGGCGUAAAGCGUGCGUAGGCUGUUUCGUAAGUCGUGUGUGAAAGGCGCGGGCUCAACCCGCGGACGGCACAUGAUACUGCGAGACUAGAGUAAUGGAGGGGGAACCGGAAUUCUCGGUGUAGCAGUGAAAUGCGUAGAUAUCGAGAGGAACACUCGUGGCGAAGGCGGGUUCCUAGACAUUAACUGACGCUGAGGCACGAAGGCCAGGGGAGCGAAAGGGAUUAGAUACCCUUGUAGUC